GGAGAGAUGGCGGAGUCCGGUUGAACGCGCCCGAUUCGAAAUCGGGUAGGCCGGUUAAGCCCGGCCUCGGGGGUUCGAAUCCCUCUCUCUCCG
Molecule: transfer RNA, 93 nt
Filed under: bacterium
Lineage: Bacteria
Description: tRNA-Ser
Rfam family: tRNA
About the family: Transfer RNA (tRNA) molecules are approximately 80 nucleotides in length. Their secondary structure includes four short double-helical elements and three loops (D, anti-codon, and T loops).
Source: RNAcentral